Molecule: long non-coding RNA, 4195 nt
Filed under: Terrapene triunguis (Three-toed box turtle)
Lineage: Eukaryota; Metazoa; Chordata; Testudines; Emydidae
Description: Terrapene carolina triunguis (Three-toed box turtle) lncRNA (ENSTMTG00000015259.1)
Source: RNAcentral
AUGAAUGUGGAUACAAAACGUAACUUUGCUUUGAAGGCCUCAAAAGCUAAAUUAGAAGCAUCUGAUGUGAAGGGGAGAGAAUAUAAUCCCAAUAAAUCCCUCUCAGAGACACUAGGCACCUGCUGUUUUUAUGGAACCUCACCACACUGCCACGAAGAACACCAGCUCAUCAGGAAUGACACAAAUUUGAGACUGAAUUGUCAUAUUUUCCCUCUGAAAUCUUAAACAGAGGGAAGAGAGGGCAGGGUGAAUGUGUUAAACAAACAAAACCACCCCCACUAAUCCUAUUGGGGCACCUGUGUCUAUUGUACAUUUUCUUUGAAAUUUAAAAAGAUGUUAGGAAAUAUUUUAUAAAACUUUUUUGCAAUAAAUGACGCAUGAGAUGGGGAGAGAUUAUACGAAGUGUUCAUGGAAGGAACCACUUGAAUUAUUAGUAUGAAGAAUUACUGCGAAUAUAUUUUUUUUUAAUGUGACAGUCUAAUCAAUAUGUUUGACAGGCCCCAGUGAUGGAGCCAAUUGCCUGGAAAGUUGACUGUAACUUUUGAACUUUGGUUUUGAUUCUUAACUUUAGCACUGCAUUUUCCAUUCUCCAAGGCUUAGUUAGUAUUUAGUAUGGGUGUUAGCAGAGCUAUAACCUGUGAUCUAAAGCAUGUCUGAAAGCAGCUGUAUUGUAAAAUAUGAACAGUCUUGUUAAAUGAGACCAAUGUUUCCCAGAGAGGUGAUGGGCAGGAUGACAGCAGUAACUCCAUGUAUCUCUAAUUUAUGGGGAAAAUCUUCCCCUGUGAAAAUGGUUGUUCUAUUCUUAUGCUGAUGUAACACUUUGGGAAUUGAGGAUUGUUGGAAACGUAUCAAGAAGGGCUACAUCUCUGACAGCAUAGUCAUUUCGAUUUGCUUGUAAUACUAUAGCAAUAUGGGAUUUAAGAAUGGCUACUGCUAAGAUAGGAUAGCAGUCGUUUGCCAGGUCAUUGUUCUCGCCCCCCACCCCCCCGCCUCCCAGCCCAGAAUAGAACUCGUGCAGGCAGCUAGUACAGCAAGAGUUUCCAUUAGUGGUUUUAAUGGUAGUUGAUUUAAUAGAAUCAUAGAAAUGUCGGGCUGGAGGGGACCUCGAGAGUCCAGCCCCCUGCUCGAUUCGCAUUGCCUCAACUUCUUUGGAUACCAUUAAAUCAAAAUUAGAAGGUCAAAUCUUUAAUCCUCUUUCUUCCUUUCUCCAAAAGAUGUUUAGUAAUAGUUAUUUCAGCUGAAGCUAGUGAAUGUUGACCAUACUGCUAGAAUACUGGCUUGUUAAUUUAUUUGCCACUGAUUGUUUUAAUAUUGUGUGCACGUUUUCUUGACAAUAUGGUUUCCUGUGCUAUUCUUAAUGAUAGAAGGGGAUUCACUGGAUGCCUGACUUGGGAGAGUAAAUAUUUAUUUUGGAGAAAUGAAAAUGUGCACAUAAUCUAAAGUUCUAAUAAAGUACAAGUUCCUCUUUCGAUGGAAAUGCAAAGGCUUGUACUAAACUCUUUUCCUAUUUACAAAUAUUCUGAUCUCAUCAGGGAAUGUAAAAUAUCUUUCUACAGGUUAUCUGCAAAGAGAGCACCUUUUCCAAAAGUCUCUGGUUUCCAAAGGCACAAAUAUGGUUUCAUAACCUGUGUGCAUGGAUCAUGAAUUAAGUAACCUUUGAUUUCAAAUCAUGGUAACCAUAGAUGUAUAUUUUUUCCCCAUUGCUUUGGUAUUUGGUAACAAAUCCAUAUUUUUAGCAGAGCAGGGGAAACAAUAAUCCAUACCCAGGAAAGAUAUAUUGGUGGUACAUAUAGUCAAAGGCAGUUCUAUAUUAGAGAUUUAGUAGUUACUUUAGUUUGAUUAGUGGUAACUUCAUAAUUUAUUUAUAAAACCAGAAACCGAAACCAUAGCACCUAUUUCUUCAAAAACUAUUUUAGCUGCACAUUGCUGUUGUACAGUAGAUUCAAAUUGUGCUACUUUUCAUAAUAAACUGCAGAUUUUUUUUUUUUAAAUAGAGAAUAGUAAUUAUUGUUCUGCAGUACUCUUGCUUUCUAAUGUAGUCAAAGCAGAGGGUCAGCAGUCUGGUCCUGCUCCACUGCCCAAAAUGUGACCAAGAUUUAUUAUAAAUUAAAGCAUCUCACUCUUAGAUUACAUCUGCACUAUGAGCUAGGUGUGUGAUGUACACGUACACGUGCUAAUUCUCAUGGAGCUAGCGUGAGUAUAAAUAGCAGUGUAGCCGCAGUAGCAUGGAUAUCAGCAGCAGAGCCAUAGCUUAGUGGGGCCUAGACUGUACCCACCAGUCUCAAGCAGGUUUGUAUUCAGCAUAGCUAAGCUAUGCUGCCACUGCAGCUACACAUGCUACCGCAGCUACACUGCUAUUUAUACUCACGCUAGCGUAGUGACACCUCAUGCAAAAAUGUGUAGGCAAGUUGGGAUCACACCCCUAGGUCGUAGUGUAGACGUAGCCUUAGAGAGAGAGGGGGACAGGGUGCAGUGAGUUAAUGUGCUAGCCUUUUACCUCUGGAGACCAAACCCUGAUUGUAUUACAAGUAGAUGGGGGUCUCAUCCCUACUGGGGGAGUCACUUUUAUCCACGUGAAAACAAAAAACAAAACCACACCAGACAACAUGGCACAAAACAGUUUCUGCUCAGGAAAAAGGCCCAGGACUGUAAUAGCAGGGUUAUUCCAUGCUGGGAUUGAAAUGAUUGACGUUGUGUGUGGAAGCCAGUAGUGCCUGCCUAUAUGACAUCUGACUCUUAACCAGUGCUCUUAUUGCCUCUCCUGCAAGAGCACUAGCACACAUCAGUUGGAGUAUACAGAACAUUAUAGUUUGAGAGAAAUGCAGGUCUCUGCAUUGGAGUAUAUGGGUAAAUUAAGCAAAUAGAAAGCUUAAAAAAUAGACAAGGUAGCAAACUGUAUUUGCUCAUAAAAAUGAGUUUAUUUUCAUGGGAAGUAGUGCAGCCAUUUUGUUUGAAACCAGAUUUUCAUUUUGAAGUGAAACUGUCAGGGAUAUUUUAAUGACUGAGAAGUACAGUAAUGUAUUGCUUUUCACUUUUUGGCUUUAGUUGCUUAAUAUUUAAGCUUUGCUCCAUGCUACCUUUUUGUCUGUAUAUUGAAUGGUCACUAUGCCUCCUUCAUUUUGUAGACUUGAAUGAGGGGGGGGAAAAUGAUUCACUUUUAAGGUUUGCUCAGAGGUAAAUGUUAAAGAAUGUUGUGUAACAUUUAUUCAAAUAAAGCCUUGAUUUUUUUUUUUCAGCACUUGUUGAAGGGAAAUGAUGUGGAACAUUUCUAUGCUAUAAUUUUCCUUUAUAUUUCCCUUUCCUUUUCUAAACCAGCAAGUUUUGAUUACAUCUUAUGUCUGUUACAUUUUCUGAAUUAAAGUGAGGAUGCUGAUCUGCUCUUGAGAGUGCAUCCUCCAGAUUAAAUUCCUACUUGACUGACGCUGUCCAACCUUGAGUUUGGCCCAUGGUGGCUGGUUCAUGUUAAAUCUUCCUUGACCAGUUGGAUGCUUUCCACAAGAAAUAGUAAAAGCCCCCACAUAGACAAUGAGAAAAGAUACUGUGCACCAUGAAGAGGCAGAGACAAAGAAAACAUGACUGUAAUCCAUGGCUGCAGUCAAGGAGCACUGGAUACAGCUCACGAUGGAGGCACACCAUGGCAGAUGGGUGUUGCUGUAGCUGAAGGACACAGUGACUAUACCCCCUGCAUUGGCCAUAGCAAUAGGGAGUGGCAUAAGAGCUCUGUGCCACCCGGGAAUCCCCCUAUGGAGUGGAGAAUCGUCUGGUGACCAGCUAAUGCUGUCUUUGGUACCACUUUGUUCUGACGGCGUUGUACAAAGCAUCUGGAACGCAGGAAAGAGCUGAGGCCUUUGAAGAACAAGAUCUGCAUGCUAUUCAAUCACUGGUUCCUUGUGAUAUUAACAGCUUCAGACAAAUCCGUCUGUUGCAGGUAAGGGUAAUGGAAUCUUUCUCCAUUUAGGGAGGAAACUCCCCACAUUGAGUUGCAUAAUUUCAUAAUUUUCCCUGAAGGAGGUGGUUAUGCCAUAAUGGGUAAUUCACUUUAAAAAAAGCACAGCAUUUGUAGCAUUGGGUCAAAGCAGGGUCAAGUUGUUGCAUAUCUCCUCAAAUUCCAGAAUCUAUAGGAGCUGCACUGUCUGGUAAAAGAAAAAAAUGCUCUCAAUUCCUGCAAAUUAAAGCUUCCAUACUUAGGAAAAAC